CCCUAGCCCAGAUAGUAACGAAAAUCCUAUUGUGCUAGCCCCGAAGCUUCGGGGCGGCACAAUAGAUUGAAGUGGAUAGCUGGAAAAAGC
Non-coding RNA from Flavobacterium frigoris, 90 nucleotides. The record is from Rfam. Lineage: Bacteria; Pseudomonadati; Bacteroidota; Flavobacteriia; Flavobacteriales; Flavobacteriaceae.